AAGUCGUAACAAGGUUUCCGUAGGUGAACCUGCGGAAGGAUCAUUAUCGUGGGGGCUCCGCCCCUUCCGAAGAUAGAACCCUUGAUUUUUGAGAACCCUCCGUUUCCUCGGCAGGUCCGCCUGCCAACGGGGACACUUUAAACUCUUUGUAAUAGCAGUACCUUCUGAUAUAAAACAAAAAGUCAAAACUUUCAACAACGGAUCUCUUGGUUCUGGCAUCGAUGAAGAACGCAGCGAAAUGCGAUAAGUAGUGUGAAUUGCAGAAUUCAGUGAAUCAUCGAAUCUUUGAACGCACAUUGCGCCCUUUGGUAUUCCUUAGGGCAUGCCUGUUCGAGCGUCAUUUAAAAUUUCAAGCUCAGCUUGGUGUUGGGUGUUUGUCCCGCCCUGGUGCGCGGACUCGCCUCAAAAGCAUUGGCAGCCGGUACGUUGGCUUUGAGCGCAGCAGAUUUGCGACUCGGUGCCUGGCGGACUGGUUCUCCAGAAGCCCCCUUUAAAGUUUGACCUCGAUCAGGUAGGGAUACCCGCUGAACUUAA
RNAcentral lists this ribosomal RNA (534 nucleotides) under uncultured fungus. RNAcentral's name for it is "eukaryotic LSU rRNA". The stretch from base 187 to 340 matches the Rfam family "5.8S ribosomal RNA". The record is from RNAcentral. Lineage: Eukaryota; Fungi.